Molecule: ribosomal RNA, 564 nt
Filed under: uncultured bacterium
Lineage: Bacteria
Description: partial 16S ribosomal RNA
Rfam family: Bacterial small subunit ribosomal RNA
Source: RNAcentral
UGGGGAAUAUUGCACAAUGGGCGCAAGCCUGAUGCAGCCAUGCCGCGUGUGUGAAGAGGGCCUUCGGGUUGUAAAGCACUUUCAGCGAGGAGGAAGGUGGUGGACUUAAUACGUUCAUCAAUUGACGUUACUCGCAGAAGAAGCACCGGCUAACUCCGUGCCAGCAGCCGCGGUAAUACGGAGGGUGCAAGCGUUAAUCGGAAUUACUGGGCGUAAAGCGCACGCAGGCGGUUUGUUAAGUCAGAUGUGAAAUCCCCGGGCUCAACCUGGGAACUGCAUUUGAAACUGGCAAGCUAGAGUCUCGUAGAGGGGGGUAGAAUUCCAGGUGUAGCGGUGAAAUGCGUAGAGAUCUGGAGGAAUACCGGUGGCGAAGGCGGCCCCCUGGACGGAAGACUGACGCAUCAGGCUGCGAAAGCGUGGGGCAGCAAACAGGAUUAGAUACCCUGGUAGUCCAGCGCUGUAAACGAUGUCGAUUUUGGAGGUUGUGCCCUUGAGGCGUGGCUUCCGGAGCUAACGCGUUAAGUCGACCGCCUGGGGAGUACGGCGCAAGGUUAAACUCAAAUG